CCUACGGGUGGCAGCAGUGGGGAAUAUUGGACAAUGGGGGGAACCCUGAUCCAGCGACGCCGCGUGAGUGAAGAAGUAUUUCGGUAUGUAAAGCUCUAUCAGCAGGGAAGAAAGAAAUGACGGUACCUGACUAAGAAGCCCCGGCUAACUACGUGCCAGCAGCCGCGGUAAUACGUAGGUGGCAAGCGUUGUCCGGAUUUACUGGGUGUAAAGGUCGUGCAGCCGGAGAGGCAAGUCAGAUGUGAAAUCCGCGGGCUAAACUCGCGAACUGCAUUUGAAACUGCUUCCCUUGAGUAUCGGAGAGGGAAUCGGAAUUCCUAGUGUAGCGGUGAAAUGCGGAGAUAUUAGGAAGAACACCAGGGGCGAAGGCGGAUUACUGGACGACAACUGACGGUGAGGCGCGAAAGCGGGGGGAGCAAACAGGAUUAGAUACCCUAGUAGUC
This 443-nucleotide ribosomal RNA is filed under the name uncultured bacterium. RNAcentral's name for it is "partial 16S ribosomal RNA". It matches the Rfam family "Bacterial small subunit ribosomal RNA", at positions 338 to 795 of the family's 1533-position model. The record is from RNAcentral.